RNAcentral lists this unclassified non-coding RNA (381 nucleotides) under Basidiomycota sp. Its description in RNAcentral is "partial contains small subunit ribosomal RNA, internal transcribed spacer 1, and 5.8S ribosomal RNA". The stretch from base 1 to 47 matches the Rfam family "Eukaryotic small subunit ribosomal RNA", at positions 1785 to 1831 of the family's 1831-position model. Lineage: Eukaryota; Fungi; Basidiomycota. The record is from RNAcentral.
AAAGUCGUAACAAGGUUUCCGUAGGUGAACCUGCGGAAGGAUCAUUACUGAACCAACACCGUCCACCUUCUUGUAGUGGACCAUUCAACGGCCUGUCAUCGGAAUUUGAUGAUGAUCAACUCGGCUCGUUGGCCAACAUUGGGCGAUGGGUGCUUCUUGAUUUUGAUGCUCAUUUACCAGGUUGGAUUGAGACGCUCAUCACUUAGUGCCUACAUGUGGCAGACCUGUGUGGGAUGGGUGCCUUUUUCAAGAGGUUGAAGUUGGUCAGAUGUCGUGGUGGCAGGCCUUUGGUCUCCUAUGAAUUUCUUUUUCACCACACAGAACUGUCGUGUUGCCCCUAGACAUAUAAUAUAACUUUCAACAACGGAUCUCUUGGCUCUC